CCCUUUCCAGGCAAAUCACAGGUAUAAUUUCUCCUCUUUACUUUUAAAAGUAUUUUCCUGUAUUACAACUCAAAAAUGAACUGUUUUCUCUUUGCUUUUUUAAAAUCUGUUUCUGGAUCGUUUGUUGUAUUAAAAAUACAUGUAUGUAUAUAAUAAAAAAGAAAGAAAAUAAUAGAGAAUAAAAAUAGUAAAACCUUUGAAUCUGUUGUUUUCGUAUUGAACCUCUGUAUUUUUUAUUGCUUCUUUGUGUGUAUUUUUCAGAACGUAACUUUUACAAGUGAAAGGAAAGGCUUUAUAGCCUUGGUCCCUUACAUAUUUUGGGAAAGAAAUCUAAGAUUUCUUUCCAUUCUAUGUCUUCUAUAUCUUUGACUGAUAUAUUGUGAUUUUCUUGCCAUUUCUGCUUUGCUUUUUUUCGCGUAUCUGCUGUUUGUUUCCUUUUCUUGCAGGUAUCAUCGAGGAAUCCGGCAGUGACCGUGCUGGUGUGGAUUCGCGCGCUGAUCACGGAGGCAGAGUCACGGCACUGAUGGAGGGUAGCUGAAACAAUGAGAGUUGAAGAGGCGCAACCCUUAGGCUGAUUGCGGCGCGAACCCUAGCUAGGGUUUCUCUGCUGCUGAAAAUAAGUUAGGCUAAUUGGGCCAAUUAAAUAUUGGGCUAGUUUAGUAUAUCUGGGGUAGGGUAUAGCUGGGUAUGGUUGUUUGGGUCAAGGGUGUAAAUGGGCUUAGCUAAAUUGUUUCGGUUUUGGGCCUACGGUUUGGGCUUUGUAACAUGGACUGUUUAAAUAAACAAACAUUUAUUUAUUUAUUUUUUGUGUUUCUAUUUUGGUUUUAAGACCCGGUCAAAUUUGGGCUAUUACAGCUGUCCCUCUUUGCUCAUUGCAGUGUAACAGGAAUCGAGCAAAGACUCAUAGAAAGACCAAAUUUGACCGGUCUUAUUAAAUCAUGGUCUUCAGGCUGCUUCUUGCAAACUCAUAACUGUCAUGUUGAUAUCUUCGAUUUGCUCUCCGCCAAACCAAAGACACCAAAUCAGCUUUUUUGAUCUGCUCUCUGACAAUGCAGAAAUGACAAAUCGUCUUGUUUCAAUCUAACCAUCUGAAGGUCAGAUCUGCCAUAUAUCUGCUCCCCAUUGAAUGUGGAGAUGCCAGACUUCGAUUUGUUCUCUGACAAUACAGAGAUACCAAAUCAUCUUAGAUUUGCUUCAUCGUAAAUACGUGAAGCCAAAUCAGCUAUGUCUUUGAUUUGCUCCUCGUAAGCACAGGGAUGCCAAAUCAUCUUGGAUUUAUUUGAGAACAUUUGAGAGUCAAAUCUACUAUGUCCUCGAUUUGUUCCUUGUAAAUACAAGAAUACCAAAUCAUUUUGGAUCUUGCUUCAGUCUAAUCGCCUGAAGAUCAGAUCUGCCACGUAUCUGCUCCCCAUUGAAUGUGGAGGGGCUAGUCUUCGAUUUGUUCUCUAACAAUACAGAGAUGCCAAAUCAUCUUAGAUUUGCUUCAUCGUAAACACGUGAAAGCCAAAUCGGCUAUAUCUUCGAUCUGCUCCCCACCGAAUACAGAGAGAUAAGAUCUGUCAUCUUGGAUCUGCUUCAGCGUAAACAUCUGAAGGUGAGAUCUGCUAUGUGUCUGCCUUCCAUCAAAGUGGAAAUGCCAGACUUCGAUUUGUUUUCUGACAAUACAGACACGACAAAUCAUCUUAGAUUUACUUCAUCGUAAACACAUGAAAGCCAAAUCAGCUAUAUCUUCGAUCUGCUCCCCGCCGAAUACAGAGAGAUAAGAUCUGUCAUCUUGGAUCUGCCCCAAUGAAGGUUAGAUCUGCUAUGCUGCAGCCUAUUACCCUACUAUUUUGGGUUUUAAACCUGUAAAAUGAUUAUGCUUGAUAAUUUAGGAUGCUAUGCUUGAAAUAAGUCGAAUGUUCCUAAUUAAAUAUGUUAUGAUGCAAAAUGUCAUGAAUAUGAUCCCUAUCCUAGACGUCAUCACUCAUUCCUUCAUUUGUCUUUUCUUUUCUCAAUGUUUCAUUCAUGCUCAGCCUGUAAGCCGUCCUCCAAUGCUAUGAUCCACUAAGGAUGUCUGUAAGGACUGAACUGUUGGCUUUGUCUAUUUUCCUUUUGGACUAGAAAGGAAUUCCUCGAGUUCUUUCAUCCCUUACUUACGUGAAUUUCUCGAACAAUUGUCCUGUUUUAGUUUCUUGUAUUAUCUAAAAAUUCCAGAGUAAUGCGCAAAACCUCGUUUGUGAACAUAUUUAAUUCAUCUAUUAUUUUUUCAAUGCAACAUACUUAAAGAAUAAUAGAAAAUGAAUAAACUUUUAAGAAUAAUUGGAUUUGAAUGAAUUAUCAAAAAGAUACAAAAGGGAAUCAAUCUGCUAGCCUAUCUUUUAGAAGAAAUAGAAUCUAAAGAUAGCCAACAAGAUAGAAGUUAGAUCGCCGCUUGAGUGCCUAUACACCAGCUCCAUGAAGUCUUUCUUGAGUUCAACAUAUGUUUAAAAGAUCCCAAGUACUCUGUUGAUGCCCCAGUUUACAGCAUUCUCUGCUCUUUGUAGCAAGAUCAUUGUGUACUCUUCAAAAUUUGAUAUGCCCUUUCAAGUUUUCAACUCAAAACCCCUUUGGUCACAAGGUGCCCUUUGCGGGUUUUCACCUUGGCCUCUCCGUUUUUUUUUUCGAAUCUCAAGGCGCCCUUUGCGAGUUUUCACCUUAGAUUCUCUUCUUCUUUAGACAAAGUAUUUUUUAACUGAGUCUGAGUUCACUGGAUUGGGUAAACUUUUCCCAUCCAUUUCUGCUAAGAUCAAUGCACCACCAGAGAAAGCUUUCUUCACGACAUACGGCCCUUCCCAAUUCGGCAUCCAUUUUCCUCUAAAAUCUUUUUGAAUAGGAAGGAUCUUUUUCAGUACAAGGUCUCCCUCAUGGAAUUCUCUUGGUCGAACUUUCUUGUCAUAAGCUCGCAUCAUUCGCUUCUGAUACAUCUGACCAUGUCGAAUGGCUUUUAGCCUCUUUUCCUCAAUCAAGUUCAACUGGUCAUACCGGGACUGAACCCACUCAGCUUCAUCUAACUUUACCUCCAUUAAAAUUUGAAGAGAAGGUAUUUCUACUUCAAUAGGUAAUACUGCUUCCAUCCCAUAAACUAGCGAGAAUGGAGUUGCCCCAGUAGAGGUUCUGACAGAUGUUCGAUAGGCUAGGAGUGCAAAUGGCAACUUCUCAUGCCAAUCUCUAUAGGUCUCAGUCAUCUUCCCCACUAUUUUCUUAAUAUUUUUGUUGGCAGCUUCCACUGCCCCAUUCAUUUUUGGACGAUAGGGAGAAGAAUUGUGAUGCUUGAUCUUGAACUGGUCACAAACCUCCGCUAUCAUUUUGUUAUUUAAGUUCAAUGCAUUGUCAGAUAUGAUCUUUUCAGGCAUUCUAUAUCGACAAAUGAUCUCCUUCUUCAAGAAUCGAAUCACUGCUAACUUAGUAACAUUCACAUAAGAGGCGGCCUCUACCCACUUUGUAAAGUAGUCAAUUACCACGAAGAUAAACCGAUGUCCAUUCGAAGCUUUCGGUGAUAUUGGUCCAAUAACAUCCAUGCCCCACAUGGAAAAAGGUUAUGGAAAAGUCAUAACAUGCAAAGGUGAAGGUGGAACAUGAAUUUUGUCCCCAUAAAUCUGACAUUUAUGGCACUUCUUGGUGUAGUUAAUACAGUCUCCUUCCAUAGUAGCCCAAUAAUAGCCAAACCUCAUGAUUUGCCUCGCCAUCGUGAACCCAUUUGCAUGUGUUCCGCACACACCUUCAUGAACUUCUUCUAAAAUUAGCUUAGCUUCCACAGCAUCUGCACAUCUCAAAAGUACUUGGUCUUUCUGUCUCUUGUACAGGAUAUCUCCAUCUAAAACAUAGUCGCAAGCUAACCUCCUCAAAGUUCGUUUAUCAUUUUCACUGGCCUGUUCAGGGUAUUUACGAUCUCUCACAUAUCGCAAUAUAUCUUGAUACUAGGGGUUAUUGUCAUUUCCUUCAUUCUCAAUGUUACAACAAUGAGCUAGAGCCUCGUAAACACUCAUUUGAAUCGGCUUCAUUUCUUCUUCUUUAUUCGCCUUGAUCAUUGAGGCCAAGAUUGCUAAAGCAUCUGCCAUCUGAUUUUCCUCUCGUGGGAGAUAAUUGAAGGUGAUGCUACCAAAUUCCUCAAGUAACCCCAAAAUUACCUUUCAAUAACUAAUCAAUUUAGGGUCCCUUGUCUCCCAUUCACCUCUAAGCUGAUAAACAACCAACACUGAAUCUCCAUAUACUUCUAGAGUUUUUAUACCUCGCUCUAUAGCUGCUUGCAGUCCCAUGAUGCAUGCUUCAUACUCAGCCAUAUUAUUCGUGCAAUCAAAAUCCAACUUGUACGUAAAAAGGGUAAUGAUCACCAUUUCCGACUGCAUUAAAAGCCCCAUCAAAAUUGAGCUUCCAAGAAGAAUUUUCAGUUAUUGCUAUACACAUCAACUCCUCUUUUGGAAAAUCGAAGUUCAAUGGCUCAUAAUCCCCUAGAGCCCUACUGGCCAAGAAGUCUGCUACCGCACUUCCUUUUAUAGCCUUAUGACUUAUGUAGACUAUAUCAAACUCUGAAAGCAAAAUUUGCCAUCUCGCCAUUCUCCCAUUUAGAGCCGUUGACUCCAUCAUGUAUUUCAACGGAUCAAGUUUUGAGAUGAGCCAAGUGGUAUGGUAUAGCAUAUAUUGUCUUAAUCUCCGAGUUGUCCAAAUCAGCGCACAACACAACUUUUCAAUUGGUGAACAUCUCAUCUCACAGUCAGUGAAUUUCUUACUGAGAUAAUAAAUUGCCUUCUCCUUUUUCCCUGAUUCGUCAUGCUGGCCAAGCACACAUCCCAUAGAAUUAUUGAACACUAACAAGUACAGUAUUAAUGAUUUAUCUGGCCUUGGUGGAGACAAUACCGGAGCAUUCAACAAAUACUACUUGACCUUUUCAAAAGCAUUCUGACAUUCCUCAUCCCAAGUACCUUGGUUGUGCUUUCUUAGGAGGCGAAAGAUAGGAUCACAUUUCUCGGUUAGUUGUGAAAUGAACCCAGUAAUGUAAUUCAACCUUUUUAGGAAUCCUCGAACUUCCUUCUGAGUACGUGGUGGAGGUAACUCUCGUAUGGCUCUGACCUUGUCUGAGUCGACUUCAAUUCCUUUUUCACUGACUACGAAGCCUAAUAACUUUCCUGAUCUGGCUCCAAAGGUACACUUUGCUAGAUUGAGCUUCAACUGAAAUUUUCUCAACCUCAAGAACAAUCUUCUCAAAACCUCAAUAUGUUCUUUUUCUGUACUCGACUUGGCAAUCAUAUCAUCAACAUAUACCUCAAUAUCCUUAUGCAUCAUAUCGUGGAACAAGUUCACCAUGGCCCUUUGGUAUGUUGCCCCUGCGUUCUUUAAUCCAAACGACAUUACUUUGUAGCAAAAAGUACCCCAUAAGGUUAUGAAGGUGGUUUUAUCCAUGUCCUCUAGAUGCAUCUUUAUCUAAUAGUAUCCUGAGAAACCAUCCAUGAAGGAGAACAACGAAUAUCCUACUGUGUUGUCCACCAAAGUGUCAAUGUGUGGUAAAGGAAAAUUAUCCUUUGGGCUUGCUUUGUUCAGAUCUCUGUAAUCAACACACAUUCGUACUAUCUCAUCCUUCUUAGGAACAGGCACAAUGUUAGCUACCCAUUCAGAGUACUUCACUUCUUGUAAGAAUCCUGCAUCAAACUGCUUCUUGACUUCAUCCUUUAUUUUCAAAACGAUUUAUGGCCUCAUUCUUUGUAACUUCUAUUGGACUGGCUUACAAUCCUAUCUUAUCGGAAGUUGAUGUACCACAAUUUCGGUACUCAAUCUAGGUAUAUCCUGAUAUGACCAGGCGAAAAUAUCUUUGAACUCUCUAAAAAACUCAACCAGACCAUGUCUUGUGUCCUCGUUAAUUAGGGUUCCGAUUUUCAACUCUUUCCCUUCCUCUAGGGUUAUAUUCUCUAUUGCCUCUUUCUCAUGUGGCAUGAUUUGUUUCUCCUCUUGCUUUACCAUUCUUAACAGAUCGAGAGAAAUGUCACAAUCUUGAACAUCUUCAAAAUCUUGAGGUUCCUCUGAACACAUGUUUUGCUCACCAGAGAAAUUAAGAGCUGUAGUAUCAGCACUCAUAUCAUUGAUAUCUAGGGACCUGUGGGUGUAUGAAAGAAUAUACAAAGAAUAAAUGAAUCUAAGAAUGAUUGUUUAUGUGCUAUGAAUGAAAGAAUAAGAAUUUCCAGAAUUUAAAGGAAUAUUGGUCGAUAAAAAUGAAACAAUACUCGUUUAAAUUGAUAAAAGUUAUGUUUUAUUUAAAUAAUUAUAGAUGAACAUAGACCUUUUUCACAAACAUAAUCUUACUACUCCUAGGCCCUAGAGUAACAAACAUGUUUCGGGAAUUACUCUGAAAAGUUUCUAAAGACUACAGGAAGGUCCUCUGCGGUCCAAUUAUUCAGAAAACUCCUCGAUUCGUAAGGGCAAAUGCCCUCAAGGUUUCCUUGCUCCGAUCCCUCAUUAUGUACAGCAUUAACUUGAUGACUUUCCUCUAUCAUCAAUCCUCCUGACCUAAAGGAUUUGGAUAUAGGUGGGAAUGUCAUCUGUUCCCACUCCACUUCUCUUCCAUUCAAACGCGCCUUUCUUCUCGCUUGGCGCUUCUCUAUUUCUUGCCCCUUGUGCUUGUGGUCUGGCUUGAAGCCCAAGCCAAAGCGGUCCUUCUUCUCAAUCAAUUUUGGGAUUUGAACCCCUCCUUGCAACUAUCUUCCUAGCCCCUUUCCCGGCAAUGCUCCUUUCCCUAUCAUCAUUUGCAGGGCCAUCCUAGUGGCUCUAGACAUUUUGGGUACCGGCACCUCGCUUCCUUCCAAAAUGAAGGUGGCAUUAAUGAUUUCUAAAUAGCGAAAAGAACACUCAAUAGCCUCUUCAUUGGCCUCAACAUAAGGGGCCUUGCUGCUGACUGCUGCUAUGAUAUCCUAUUCCGCGUUGAUGGUUAUUAAGCCUCCAUCUGUCACUAACUUCAAUUUUUGGUGCAAUGAAGAAGGCACCGCUCCUGCCGAGUGUAUCCAUAGUCUCCCCAAUAAACAAUUGUAGGAGGGCUUGAUAUCCAUCACUAGAAAAUCAACUUCAUACGUAUUUGGCCCAAUCUCCAGAGGGAUGUCAAUUCGUCCCAUUACUUUUCUUUCAGUUCCAUCGAAGGCUCUUACCACGUUAUGACAUGUUUUCAUAUGUGAACUGUCAAUGGGUAAUCUGUUCAAGGUGGAUAGCGGCAGGACGUUCAAAGCAGACCCAUUAUCCACGAGUACAUUUGGAAGUGUGUAUCCUUUGCACCGAGUAGUGAUGUGUAGGGCUUUGGUUGACCCUAUGCCCCCAAGUGGAAUUUCAUCAUCAUUAAAAUAGAUGAAAUUGUCAACACUGAUGUUGUUUACUAACCGGUCCUGCUUGUUAACGGAUAUGUCAUGGGUGACAUAUGUUUCAUUAAGCACUUUUAACAACGCAUCUCGAUGCGCCUCAGAACUCAAGAGUAGGGCUAAUACUAAUAUACGUGCCGGCUACUUGUGCAACUACUUGACUACGCUAUACUCGCUAUGUUUCAGGAAUUUUAAAAACUCCUUAGCUUCUUCCUCCUUUACCAGCUCAUUGAUGGGUAUUUCAGUCUCCUUUUCCUUUUCAGCCUCGGCAUUUUCUGUCUUUGUGGGCUCCACUCUGAUAUUCCCCCGUCAUAACAUUUCCCACUUCGUGUAUGGGAACCUUCAUUUUGCCUGCCCCUGGCCGCGCUAGCUAUACUCUCCACCUCAGGUAUUGUUAUAUUGCAGUCAUAGCUCCAUGGCACCCUCUUGUCAUCCUUGUAAGGGAAAUGAUUGGGUUUAUGGAUGACUAUUUUGGGCCCAGUUUGUGACCCCGCCUCAUUAUUCCCUGGCAAGGAAAUAAUAAUUCUUGGUUGGCUGGUUCUUUGUCGUUCAUUCUCCAGCACACAUAUUUGUCCUUCACAAGAACUACCCUCAGAAACCUGUAGUUCUUUGUUAACCAUAAGGCCUUGUACCAUGGCCUUGAAUUCUUCACAAUUUUGGAUCAUAUGACCCGCCUCUCCAUGGAAUUCACAAUGGUUCUCUAUUCCUUCUCUUCCUUUUCUAGAGGUCAGCAUACCUCUCUUCACCAUCUCCUCCCAUAUUACUUUCAUAGGUGUCUUCACCUCAGCAAUAUCUUCCUUGACUUUUCCUUUCUUUGUUUCAUCAAUGGCAUUCACUCCUUGAUUGCCAUGAUCCGGUAACAGAUUUUCAGUAUUAGGGGUACUAUCAAAUUUCACAACCCCCAUUUUGAUGAGCCUUUCCACGACCUUCUUGAACCCAGUGUAAUUUUCAAUUGAAUGCCCCGAUAUUCCCGCAUGAUAUUCGCAUUUAGCAUUUGCAUCAUACCAUUUGGGGUACGGUGGUUGCAGCGGUUUUAAGUGAAAUGGAGCAAUGGCAUGUGCAUCGUAUAAGCUUUGAUAAAGCUCACGAUAUGUCACAGGGAUAGGAGUGAAUUGCAUCCUCUCCGAAUUCUGUCUUGUACCCGAUCCCUGUCUUUGAGUACUUUGUUGCUCACCCGUAGCUGAUUUAGGUUAUCCAACUAUGAUUGCCCUAGAGUUGAAAAUGUUCAUGUUGUUCACCUCAUUGUCUUUUCUCCUUGGGGCCGAUCUUUUAGCCACUUUCCCCUCGAUUUUACCACCCCUCACGGCAUUCUCAAUCAUCUCACCUGUCAUAACUAUAUCCGCGAAACUUUUCGUGGUGCUUCCAAUUAUAUGUGUAAUGAAUGGCGCCUUCAAAGUAUUAAUAAAUAACAUGGUGGUUUCCUUUUCCAACAAUGGUGGUUGUACUUGCAUUGCCACCUCCCUCCAUCGUUGUGCAUAUUGACUAAAACUUUCAUUAGGCUUUUUCUCCAUGUUUUGAAGUGUGAUCCUAUCUGGCGUCAUAUCAGUCACAUGGUUACACUGUUACAUGAAAGCUUGUGUGAGAUCUCUCCAUGAACUGAUUCUUGCACGGCUCAACUGAUUGUACCACCUAGCCGCUGCUCCCACUAGGCUGUCCUGAAAACAAUGGAUCAAUAGUUGAUCGUUAUUCACGUAACCAGUCAUUCUUCUACAAAACAUUGUUAUGUGUGCCUCUGGGCAAGUAGUCCCGUUGUACUUUUCAAACUCUAGCAUUUUAAAUUUAUGAGGAAGCACCAAAUCUGGAACCAAACUUAAGUCUUUGGCAUCAAUCCCAUGAUGAUUGCCAGUGCCUUCUAAAACCCUAAACUUCUCCACUAACCACCUGCAACAAUCUUCCAAUUGUUUCAAGGAUUCAGUGGCCAUUCUUUCCUUCUCCAUUAAAUCUAAAUUAGGAGUAAUAGGGUUGAUCGAGCUAUCACCCAAAUUAUUUCCCAACCCAGAUGGGAAAUUUACGGGGAUUCCAGCAUCCACUGGCCCAUGUUGAGGCCUCACGGUGACAGUUGGCCUUCUAGGAGGUGCCUCAGUUUGCAGGGGCACAUGAGGCAGAGUAAAACCCGGAGGAGGAUCUUCAUUCUCCUCUUUAGUGAUCGCCAUGGGAGCUUUUCCUUUAUCAGUGGUUCUUAGCAGCUGAGCCAUUUCAGCCAUCAUGUUUCUCUGAGCCUCUAGCAUCUGCUCCCUCAUUUCAUUCUGCAUUUUGGCCAACUGUUCUUGCAUUUGAUCUUGCAUGUCUUUUUGUAAUUGCUCGAACCUUUGAACCAUGCUCUUAGUUUUAGUACGAGUGCCGUAAGGAUGUGUGAUUUCCAGAUUUUCUUUUCUACCUUUUAAAGUAAACUUUAACUAAUCAGGGUCUUUCUAUAACUUUGAAUGCAAAUGAUAUGAUGAAAUGCUAUGAGAUGCAAAUGCAUGAAUGCAAAAAGGAUAUCGAUUCUGGUUCAACUUCAUUUAGAAAAUUUUAUUUAGAAAAAGAAUGUCUUUACAUAUAAGAGGAUUACAAAUACGCUUUCGCCCUAAGGCCCAAAGCUUUAACUCUAUCUAAUAAAAGGGCUAACUCUCAUCCUACAUCCGACGAUGAUGAAUACAUCGGACUCAAUACAUCAGCUCGAAUUGCUAAGUCUUGCACAUGUUCGGCGACCUCUCGAAUCUGGGCUAUGGCCUCACCAAUGACAUGAUCCAUUUCUCUGACCUGUCCCUUAGCCUGAUGAAGCUCUCCCUUCAAAUAGCCCUCCUGCGCCUCGAGCUGCUCAACCCGGAGUUCACCGUCAUGCAAUGCCAUUUCAAAUCCUCAACCUUGCUUUUUAGCUCCUUUAACUCGAUCGUAGAGUUAUGGUUUUUGUGCCAAUGUAGGGAUCUUCCAAGCUCAGUUACCCUAGUCUUCAACCCUUUAUUUUCUUCCUCUAAUGCCAAAUUCUGUACCUACAUCUCUUGGAACUUCCUCUCCCAAUACUCGGCCCUAGCCUUUUCCUUUUGGACCUCCUUCUGCAACUGAUCUGAAGAUCUUUCUACUCUCGCCCUUCUUAAGGAUAAUUGUACCCUUUUGUAAUGUUCCUUUAGAUCAUCUCGAUCUUCCUCAAUCUUCCUCUUUUCUUUUCUCUCUUUCUCGAGCUCUAUCUUUUGAACAUCGACUUCCAAACUCAAGUACAUAUUUUCCUCUUCGAGCUUUGCUAUCCUCUUCUCAAACUCCAAGUUCUUUCUCUCGAACUCCUGUUUCAUAAUUUCUGACUCUGAGGGCCUUACUUGCAAAUAUUCUUCCAUCGGUCGAGCUUCUUCCACACUUGGCUUAGGGAUAUUAUCGUUAACCCUUCUGCCUCUCCAUUCAAUGUAUUCUGGUAUGGUUACAGGACUAAUAGCUACUCAUUUCAACCGACAAGUCUUUUUCCAAGCACUAGAAAUUUCACUAACCUUCCUUUUGUAAUCGGCUCCUCUAUAUACGAACUCACUUUGAGCCAACCCUUGAGUCGCUGGUACAAACUGUCUCAAUCCAUGCUGCCUCAGCACAGCAACGGAGCAUAACCAAUGGCACCCCAAAUUCCCAGUAGGGGUACCCAAUCAAAAAUGCCGCUUCGAUAAAGAACCUCACCAGGCAUCAUCCACGGAGCCCUCCACUCGACAUCUUUCGACUGAAGGUUCUGAAGUAGCGCUAUCCAAUUCUCUUCUAGAACAUCAACUCUCCUAGUUGAAGCUGCUAUAUCUUUCAACGGUGAAUAGUCCUCGAAGAAAACCCGACAAACCAUCCUGUCUAUUAACCGGAAAUGACUGUAGAACUAAGCCAAAAGCAACUGAGCACACCCUAUAAACCUGCCAGCACCAGCCCUCCUACAUGCACCUAAAGAUCUGAAUGUUUUCGCCAAAAUUGCAGGGACAGAAGCGACCUUUUUACUGAGUCGAUGAAAAAGAUCCGUGGUUGCCUCAUCCACAUAUCCCAAAGCCCUAGGGAAAACCAUCAAUCCAUACAAACUCAAGGCAAAAACAUCUACCUUCUUCAUCUCAUCAGGGUGUGUCAGAAUCAAAUCUUUCAAAGCGUCCCACGAAAUGCACUUGUACUCACCCUUUUCCUUAAUUCGGGCCGUGGCCCACUGCUCGCUCAUCCCUGUAAUAAUCAUCAAUUUCUUCCAAAAGGUAGGGACACAAGCAGCUCGAGAAUAGAUCCUAUCAUUCUGAAAUCUGGGACAACGGAGCAAGGCCAUGUACUCCUCCACAGUAGGUACCAUGUCUACUUCCCCAAAAGUGAAGCAAUUGUACGUCGGGUUCCAAAACUGAGCAAGGGCUCAGAAUAAGUGCUCGUCUAUCUGAACAUCAAGCAAGUAAGGUAAGUCUCCAUAAUUAUCGUAGAAUAACUACUUCGUCUCUUUGCCCCACUGAUCUCAAAUUUCCUUAAGCUCUUGGAGAUUAUUCUGUGUGACACUAAUACGAGUAUAAUCUGAUAGCUCCGACACAUAUCCCAUAGUUAUACUGUCCCCCUUUUCUAGUUGAGUUUGCUCAGACCAUCUAUGGACGUUAGCGUUGCCCUCCACUCUAUCAAGAAGUCCGUUCUCCAUAAUAAAACUUCCUAACUUAGAAACUGACCGUGAAUCGAUACCUUUGUAAAUGCAAAAUGACAUGCGAACAAAAGAAAAGAAAUAGUUAGUAUCACAUGAUAUCAAUAAAUCUCAACGAUAAUUUAUAAGGGUAAUAUCUAAAGUUUAACUCUAACCAAGUUGGGCUCUUACGGUUUUUCUAUAUGAGGUUGGUUCUAAAGUUUGAGGUACCUGAACCAGCAGAUUCCUCGAUUCUCACCCAUUAUAAGCUCAUUUGAAUCGAGUUCAGUUUAGGGGAAUACAUUUCCCUAUGGCUACACGGAGAUGAAAAUCUCACGAAACCAUAGGUACGGAUGUAUCCCAAAAGUGAUCCACUAUCCUGCACGGAGGCGAAAACCUCAUGAAAGUGUAGUUUCUCAUUCCCACUUAAGGGUGUGACCACAACGGUCAUGCAAAUGCAAUGCGCAUCAGAAUAUAGCAACACAUGCAAUAAUACAAACACAUGUAAUGCAAAGAGGAUUAGAUUUUAAAAUUUUUAAUUUCCGACAUUAAGACAAGAUAUAAUCAAUUACACGACUUGACUCUCUUAUGAAGUCCCCAGUGGAGUCGCCAAGCUGUCGAGACCAUUUUUAAAUCGAGUUUUGUAAAAUGGGAAUCGAUUUAAAAAAAACGAAAAUGGGAGUCGCCACCAAUCUUUUUAGGUGUGAUUGGAUCACCUUUAAAACAUUUUGUUUUAAAAUUAUUAGUUCUGGUCCACAAAAUAAAAGAACGGGUUCGGGAGUCGGUUACAUACGAGGAAGGAUUAGCACCCUCAUAACGCCCAAAAAAUUGGUACCUAAUUGAUUAUCAAAUGUCUUUAAUGUCGGAAAUUUAAAGAAAUUUAAGAUGUAAUCCUCUUUAAAAUACUUUGAUUCUGAAAAUUUGGGUUCACUCGUAUCAAAACAUUGACACUAAGUUAACCUUUUGGAAAUCCCUAUCUCGAAACGUCAAAUCGUCACAUCCAAUAAGUUAGGACACAGCGCUUUGAAAUUCCAAGACAGUUGCUCGUAUUUUGAAAAUCUUAAAAACUUAGAAGGGUACUUGACUAUUCGAACUCAACGAGAAAAGUCGCAACCCAAUAAAUUAGGGCACUACUUUUCUCGAAGCUUCCAAACACCGAGCAUUGCCUUUUUAUUUUUAUUUUUGAAAAGUUUGAAGUCUCAUUUUUUAAAUCAAUGCAUGAAGGUACAUAUUAAUAUAACAUAUGAGAUAACAUGUUACAAUGAUAGGAAAGUAAGAGCAUAACGGCAUAAAUAUCAUACACUAAUCAACAUAUAUAAGAAAUAAAACAUGACAAUUUUUUAAAUAAGAAAAAUAUACAUAAAACGGAAUACAUAUUAAAGAAGAAAUAGGUAAAAUCCCUAAACAUAUAAUUCAACAUAUAUUUAAUCACAUAAAUGAUGCAUGAUAUACAAUAUAUCAAUGUACAUAAAAAAAUAAUAUGCAUUUGAAAAUAAAAUAUAAAAGUCUAAGAUAUUACAUAACAUAUAACAUAACAAAAAUACAUUAAUACUAAAGUAAAAAUAAAUAUUGUAUAAUAAAAAAAAACAAAAGUUUAAAAAAAUAUAUGUAUAAUACAAACAAAUAAUAAAAUGUGAUAUUUAAUAAUAUAAUAAAAAUAAUUAUAAGAAUAAUAAUUACAUAAAAAAUAUAAAAGAUAUUGGUUUAGUAAAAUAAUGUAAAGAAUAUGAAAUAUGUAAAAGUAUUUAUAUUUAUAAUGAAAUAAUUAUAAUAUAUAAAUAUAAGUUUAAAAUGAAUAAUUAAUAAUGAAAUCUACGUAUUAUACAAAUUAUAAUAUUAUAAUAUCUUCAAAAUGUGUAAUAAUAGAAUAUAAAUAAAAUAAUUAUUAACAUAUAAAUAAAAAAUAAAUAUAUAAUACAAGUUUAAAACCUUUAAUGAUAAUAAUAUAUAGAUAAAAAUGGAUAAUAAUAUAAAAAUGACAUAAUAAUAUAUAAUAUAAUUAUAAUGUAUAAUAUAAAGGUAUAUAUAUAUAAAUAAUAUAUAAUAUAAUUAAUAAAUAUAUAAUAUAAUAAUAUAUAAAUAAUAAUGUAAAAUAAUAAUAAUUUAUGAAAAAUAAUACAUAAUAAAUAAUAAUAUAAAUAAUAUAUAAUAAAAUAAUUCUAUAACAUAAAAAAUAAGGUUAAAAAAAUAAAACAAAUAACAAUGUAAAAUAUAUAUAUAAUAAUAAUGAUAAAUAUAUAGGGUUAGAUUUGAAAUUCAAUAAAAUUACAGGGCAAAUUUAAAAAAAUAACAUUGGAUUAAGGUCCUAAUUGAAACGCGCGAAAAACGAAAGGGACUCAUUGGGAAAAAUACCCUAUUCCCAAAACGUCUGCGCUUUAAUUCUGUGUUUAAAAAAAGGUCAGGGAUCAUAUUGAAAUCAAAAUAAAAAUAAUGGGAAAAAAUUAAAAAUUGCAAUAAACUUAAUUUGACAGAUAAAAAGACGAAAGGACUAAAGGGAAAAUUAUCCCAUUUUCUUAAAACACGCGGACCCUCCGGGUCGGAUCUUGGGCCCUAUAUAAGUUAAAUUUUGAUUUUAAAAUUCAUUUCUAACACCCAUUUUUUUUUUUAAAAAAAAAACAAAAAUCUCUGAAACCCCCUCUCCGUCCUUUGGCCUGAGUUCCAACAACGGCCGAUGACCACCGUUCACGCGCCUCACGCGCCAUCGUACACGGUGGUCGGAGGUUCUAAAUAUCUCCCCUUUCCAGGCAAAUCACAGGUAUAAUUUCUCCUCUUUAUUUUUAAAAGUAUUUUCCUGUAUUACAACUCAAAAAUGAACUGUUUUCUCUUUGCUUUUUUAAAAUCUGUUUCUGGAUCGUUUGUUGUAUUAAAAAUACAUGUAUGUAUAUAAUAAAAAAGAAAGAAAAUAAUAGAGAAUAAAAAUAGUAAAACCUUUGAAUCUGCUGUUUUCGUAUUGAACCUAUGUAUUUUUUAUUGCUUCUUUGUGUGUAUUUUUCAGAACAUAACUUUUACAAGUGAAAUGAAAGGCUUUAUAGCCUUGGUCCCUUACAUAUUCUGGGAAAGAAAUCUAAGAUUUCUUUCCAUUCUAUGUCUUCUGUAUAUUUGAUUGAUAUAUUGUGAUUUUCUUGCCAUUUCUGCUUUGCUUUUUUUCGCGUAUCUUCUGUUUGUUUCCUUUUCUUGCAGGUAUCAUCGAGGAAUCCGACAGUGACCGUGCUGGUGUGGAUUCGCGCGCUGAUCAUGGAGGCAGAGUCAUGGCGCUGAUGGAGGGCAGCUGAAACAACGGGAGUUGAAGAGGCGCAACCCUUAGGCUGAUUGCGGCGCGAACCCUAGCUAGGGUUUCUCUGCUGCUGAAAAUAAGUUAGGCUAAUUGGGCCAAUUAAAUAUUGGGCUAGUUUAGUAUAUCUGGGGUAGGGUAUAACUGGGUAUGGUUUUUGGGUCAAGGGUGUAAACGGGCUUAGCUGAAUUGUUUCGAUUUUGGGCCUACGGUUUGGGCUUUGUAGCAUGAACUGUUUAAAUAAACAAACAUUUAUUUAUUUAUUUUUUGUGUU
This 15470-nucleotide long non-coding RNA is filed under the name Gossypium barbadense (sea-island cotton). RNAcentral's name for it is "long non-coding RNA (GBAR_LNC000508)". Lineage: Eukaryota; Viridiplantae; Streptophyta; Magnoliopsida; Malvales; Malvaceae. The record is from RNAcentral.